GGCUCUUUGAGAAAGUCUGAUAAAGAGUUGGACCUGCCCAGUGAAGGAUUUUAACGGCCGCGGUACUCUGACCGUGCAAAGGUAGCAUAAUCAUUUGCCUUAUAAUUGAAGGCUUGUAUGAAUGGUUUGACAAGAAUAUAGCUGUCUCUAUAUAAUUUUAUAGAAUUUUAUUUUGAAGUGAAGAAGCUUGAAUAUUAUUAAUAGACAAGAAGACCCUAUCGAGCUUGAAAAGAUUUAAUAAAGGUGUAUGCAAAUAAGAUUAAAAAGUUGUUUAUUUUAUAUUUUGGUUGGGGCGACUUAGGAACAAAAAAAGCUUCCUAAAACUUUAUAGAAGACAAUUUGAUCCAAAAUUUUUUGAUUAAAGAAAUUAGUUACCGUAGGGAUAACAGCAUUAUCUUCUUUGAGAGUUCAUAUCGAAAAGGAGGUUUGUGACCUCGAUGUUGGACCAGAAUAUCCUAAAGAUGUAGCAGUCUUUAAGGGUUGGUCUGUUCGACCAUUAAAAUUCUACG
Molecule: ribosomal RNA, 509 nt
Rfam family: Bacterial large subunit ribosomal RNA